Molecule: ribosomal RNA, 303 nt
Filed under: uncultured bacterium
Lineage: Bacteria
Description: partial 16S ribosomal RNA
Rfam family: Bacterial small subunit ribosomal RNA
Source: RNAcentral
AGCAGCAGCCGCGGUAAUACGGAGGGUGCAAGCGUUAAUCGGAAUUACUGGGCGUAAAGCGCACGCAGGCGGUCUGACAAGUCAGAUGUGAAAUCCCCGGGCUUAACCUGGGAUCUGCAUUUGAAACUGUCAGGCUGGAGUCUUGUAGAGGGGGGUAGAAUUCCAGGUGUAGCGGUGAAAUGCGUAGAGAUCUGGAGGAAUACCGGUGGCGAAGGCGGCCCCCUGGACAAAGACUGACGCUCAGGUGCGAAAGCGUGGGGAGCAAACAGGAUUAGAGACCCGAGUAGUCCCUGUCUCUUAUAC